This 842-nucleotide ribosomal RNA is filed under the name uncultured bacterium. RNAcentral's name for it is "bacterial SSU rRNA". It matches the Rfam family "Bacterial small subunit ribosomal RNA", at positions 57 to 897 of the family's 1533-position model. The record is from RNAcentral.
GCAGUCGAACGGCAGCACGGACUUCGGUCUGGUGGCGAGUGGCGAACGGGUGAGUAAUACAUCGGAACGUACCCAGAAGUGGGGGAUAACGCAGCGAAAGUUGCGCUAAUACCGCAUACGUUCUACGGAAGAAAGUGGGGGAUCUUCGGACCUCAUGCUUUUGGAGCGGCCGAUGUCUGAUUAGCUAGUUGGUGGGGUAAAGGCUCACCAAGGCGACGAUCAGUAGCUGGUCUGAGAGGACGACCAGCCACACUGGAACUGAGACACGGUCCAGACUCCUACGGGAGGCAGCAGUGGGGAAUUUUGGACAAUGGGCGCAAGCCUGAUCCAGCAAUGCCGCGUGAGUGAAGAAGGCCUUCGGGUUGUAAAGCUCUUUUGUCAGGGAAGAAACGGUUCCGGCUAAUAUCCGGGGCUAAUGACGGUACCUGAAGAAUAAGCACCGGCUAACUACGUGCCAGCAGCCGCGGUAAUACGUAGGGUGCAAGCGUUAAUCGGAAUUACUGGGCGUAAAGCGUGCGCAGGCGGUUUUGUAAGUCUGUCGUGAAAGCCCCGGGCUCAACCUGGGAAUUGCGAUGGAGACUGCAAGGCUUGAAUCUGGCAGAGGGGGGUAGAAUUCCGCGUGUAGCAGUGAAAUGCGUAGAGAUGUGGAGGAACACCGAUGGCGAAGGCAGCCCCCUGGGUCAAGAUUGACGCUCAUGCACGAAAGCGUGGGGAGCAAACAGGAUUAGAUACCCUGGUAGUCCACGCCCUAAACGAUGUCUACUAGUUGUCGGGUUUUAAUUAACUUGGUAACGCAGCUAACGCGUGAAGUAACCGCCUGGGGAGUACGGUCGCAAGAUUAA